RNAcentral lists this ribosomal RNA (753 nucleotides) under uncultured bacterium. RNAcentral's name for it is "bacterial SSU rRNA". It matches the Rfam family "Bacterial small subunit ribosomal RNA", at positions 8 to 796 of the family's 1533-position model. The record is from RNAcentral.
AGAGUUUGAUCCUGGCUCAGGAUGAACGCUGGCGGCGUGCCUAAUACAUGCAAGUCGAGCGGUAAGGUCCCUUCGGGGAUACACGAGCGGCGGACGGCUGAGUAACACGUAGGAACGUACCCCAAAGUGAGGGAUAAGCACCAGAAAUGGUGUCUAAUACCGCAUGUGCUCUAAGGAGUAAAGCUUCGGCGCUUUGGGAACGGCCUGCGUCCGAUUAGCUAGUUGGUGAGGUAAUAGCUCACCAAGGCUACGAUCGGUAGCUGGUCUGAGAGGAUGAUCAGCCAGACUGGGACUGAGACACGGCCCAGACUCCUACGGGAGGCAGCAGUAGGGAAUUUUCCACAAUGGGCGAAAGCCUGAUGGAGCAACGCCGCGUGCAGGAUGAAUGCCUUCGGGUUGUAAACUGCUUUUAUAUGUGACGAUUAUGACGGUAGCAUAUGAAUAAGGAUCGGCUAACUCCGUGCCAGCAGCCGCGGUCAUACGGAGGAUCCAAGCGUUAUCCGGAAUUACUGGGCGUAAAGAGUUGCGUAGGUGGCAUAGUAAGUAGAUAGUGAAAGCGUGUGGCUCAACCAUAUACACAUUAUCUAAACUGCUAAGCUAGAGGAUGAGAGAGGUUAUUGGAAUUCCCAGUGUAGGAGUGAAAUCCGUAGAUAUUGGGAGGAACACCGAUGGCGUAGGCAGAUAACUGGCUCAUUCCUGACACUAAGGCACGAAAGCGUGGGGAGCAAACGGGAUUAGAUACCCCAGUAGUCC